RNAcentral lists this long non-coding RNA (2061 nucleotides) under Sus scrofa (pig). RNAcentral describes it as "lncRNA (ENSSSCG00055021433.1, ENSSSCG00065058844.1)". Lineage: Eukaryota; Metazoa; Chordata; Mammalia; Artiodactyla; Suidae. The record is from RNAcentral.
CUUCGUUACUCAGGAGAAAAAAAGAGGGAGAGAGAGAGAGAAAAUCAAGUCGCAGCCGGCUUGGCCCGGUGUUGGGGGCGGUCGCGCGGAACGGUGAGGCUGUGAGAACUUCCCCAGCUGCUGACUGAAGUGGGAAGUGAGGUGUGAACUGAGACCCCGGGAGAGAGGCCCUCCGGGUAGGACCUGGCCUCGGACUGGCGGCGUAAAGGGUGGCCUUGCCACCGACUGAGAGUGGUUGAGCUGGCCUCUGGCCGAGUGUGGGGAGAGAGGCUUCACUUCUUUGUACACAUGUGCAGAGGCUAUGAAGUCCAGGAUUAAGGUGCUGGCCAAUUCAGUUUCUGGUGAAGACUCUUCUGGAGUUGCAGACUUCUGAGUUUAUCUUCAAAUGGCCUUUCCCCAGUGGGCGUAUGUGGGGAGAGGGGAGAGCCAUCCUGCCUGAAACUCAGGAAACACAAGGUCCCUGGUUGUGUAAUAUGAGUACACUUGAAAGUUCCUCGUCCUUAUCUGGCAACCCAGAUGGAUAAAUACUGGCCCUGAAGAUGCUUUUCUUAAAACUGAGCACAAGUGGCUGCAGAACAGAGCUUGGGAAGAACCAGUUAUUCUUCUGUCAGUUCAAAACUGGGGGCCCCUUCCCUCUAGCAUUCAUCCUCUGCUUGCCGGGGCAUAUCAAUUUCACCCAAAUCACGUGGACUAAGGUGGUGAUGGUGGGCUGUGGUAGGUAUGAUUUCCCCAAAGAAAAUUCAGAUGAAGUCACCAGAGGGAAGAAGGAAGAAUGGAUGUUUAUGCAAAAGACGCAGAUGUCCACAACAGUUCCCACAUGGGAAGAGAAUAAUCCAGGUUUAAGAGCCCUGGCUUGGGACCCCAGUGUCUGGGGAUGGAGUCCCAGCUCUACCAUUUACAAAUUGUGUGACCAUGGCUGGAUCAUGUCACCAGUCAGUAUGGGUCUGUGUCCCCAUUAACAAAUGGGAGUGAUGGUCCAGCAUUGUGGGCCUGAAUCAGAGUGACAGCACAUUGCAAAGGCACCAUGUAAGCUCCAGCAGGUGUGUCACAGCUACUUGUGGUGUCAUGAAAUCUGAAGUCUCUGAUCCAGUGAAUCAGCUUCUGAAUAUUUAAUCAAAGGAAAUUAAAACACUAACUCAGGAGUUCCCAUCAUGGUGCAGUGGUUAACGGAUCCGACUAGGAACCAUAAGGUUGCGAGUUCGAUCCCUGGCCUUGCUCAGUGGGUCGAGGAUCCAGCAUUGCCGUGAGCUGUGGUGUAAGUUGCAGACACGGCUGGGAUCCUGCGUUGCUGCGGCUCUGGCGUAGGCCGGUGGCUAUAGCUCCAAUUAGACCCCUAGCCUGGGAAUCUCCAUAUGCCGCUGGAGCGGCCCUAGAAAAAGGCAAAAAGACAAAACAAACAAACAAACAAACAAAAAAACACUAACUCAAAAAGGUAUCUGUACCCCCAUGUUCAUUGCAGCAUUAUUUACAAUAGCCAGGAUAUGCAAACAACCUAAGUGUCUAUUGAUGGAUGAAUCAAUAAAGAAAUGUGGUGUGUAUAUGUAAUGGAAUAUACUUCAGCCAUAGGAAAGAAUAAAAUUCUGCCAUUUUGCAACAACAUGGAUGAACCUUGAGGGCAUUAUGCUAAAUGAAAUGUCAGACAGAGAAAGACAAAUACCAUAUGAUCUUACUCAUAUAUGAAAUUAAAAAGAAAAACUAAGGUCAUAAAUACAAAAAGUAGAUUGGUGGUUGCCAAAGAUGGGGGGAUAGGAGAAUGGGCGAAAUGACUGAAGGGGGUCAAAAGGUAUAGACUUUCAGUUAUAAGAUAAAUAAGUCCUGGGAUAUAAUGUACAGCAUGGUGACUGUAGUUAACACUGUAUUGCACAUUUUAAUGUUUCUAAGAGAGUGGAUCUUAAAAAUUCAUCACAAGAGAAAAAAUUUAUAACUAUGUAUGGUAACAGAUAUUAACUACACUUAUUAUGGAGACCAUUUUUCAGUGUAUACAAAUAUUGAAUCAUGUUGUAUGCCUGAAAUUAUUAUAAUGUUAUAUGUCAAUUAUACCUAAAUAAAAAACAAAAUGAA